RNAcentral lists this ribosomal RNA (499 nucleotides) under uncultured bacterium. RNAcentral describes it as "bacterial SSU rRNA". It matches the Rfam family "Bacterial small subunit ribosomal RNA", at positions 28 to 526 of the family's 1533-position model. The record is from RNAcentral.
GACGAACGCUGGCGGCGUGCUUAACACAUGCAAGUCGAACGAGAAUCUAACAAACAGAGAUUUCGGUUGAAGUGAGUUAGAGGAAAGUGGCGAACGGGUGAGUAACGCGUGAGCAACCUGCCUUACACAAAGGGAUAGCCUCGGGAAACCGGGAUUAAUACCAUAUGAGACCCCGCUGUCGAAUGACAAAGAGGUUAAAGAUUUAUCGGUGUAAGAUGGGCUCGCGUCUGAUUAGCUAGUUGGUGAGAUAAAAGCUCACCAAGGCGACGAUCAGUAACCGGCUUGAGAGAGUGAACGGUCACAUUGGAACUGAGACACGGUCCAAACUCCUACGGGAGGCAGCAGUGGGGAAUAUUGCACAAUGGGGGAAACCCUGAUGCAGCGACGCCGCGUGAACGAAGAAGGCCUUCGGGUCGUAAAGUUCUGUCCUUGGAGAAGAUAAUGACGGUAACCAAGGAGGAAGCACCGGCUAAAUACGUGCCAGCAGCCGCCGUAACAC